UACAGAGGUCCCGAGCGUUAGGCGGAAUCACUGGGCUUAAAGCGUGUGUAGGCGGGUCCGUAAGUGCCUUGUGAAAUCCCACCGCUCAACCGUGGAACUGCUGGGCAUACUGCGGGUCUUGGGCCAACUAGGGGCAGCCGGAACAAGCGGUGGAGCGGUGAAAUGCGUAGAUAUCGCUUGGAACGCCGAAGGUGAAAACAGGCUGCUGGGGUUGCGCCGACGCUGAGACACGAAAGCCAGGGGAGCAAACGGG
This 253-nucleotide ribosomal RNA is filed under the name uncultured bacterium. RNAcentral's name for it is "partial 16S ribosomal RNA". It matches the Rfam family "Bacterial small subunit ribosomal RNA", at positions 524 to 776 of the family's 1533-position model. The record is from RNAcentral.